This is a long non-coding RNA of Oryctolagus cuniculus (rabbit), 1570 nucleotides long. The record is from Ensembl. NCBI's taxonomy places the organism in Eukaryota, Metazoa, Chordata, Mammalia, Lagomorpha, Leporidae.
AUGGGAGCAGAGCCAGGGGAGGGGGCUGGCGCUGGCCGCCACAGCCCCAUAGGAGCAACCGCAUAUGGCCAGCCAGGCUCGGCAGCCCGUGCGCUAAUCCUGCUGUCAGCCAGGCCGGGUGCCGGAUUAGGAAAUGUCACGUUUCAAAGGAAAUUAUUUCCAUUUUCUCCCCAGGAAGGGAAAAGGCAGAAAGACAAGCAAACUCCCGGGGUCGCGUGUUGGGAGACAGGCCAGCAUCUGGGCCUUAGACAGGCACCUCUCCUCCUCCUCCAACCCCCUCUGCAGACGCCCAGAAAAGUGACAGCAAUCGCCUGGCUGAGUUCAUCCUGGCCAAGGACAAAUGGAUUUCACAGUUUAUCAAGGGAAGAAGGGGCGUGUCAGCGGCUCAUCAACCAUGACCCACCUCUGGUCUCUGCCACCCCUGCACCGGUCACAGCCGCAACUUCACGCCUGACCCCGCUCGCUCAGCUGGCUCUUGGGCCUGGCUUCCUGGGAUCAGCAAGUCUGAGAGAGGCCUCCCCUCCCGGCACGGGAGCAAUCCCAGGCUUCUGCUUAUUGGGAAAUCAAUAAGGAGGCGGGCCCUGCCUGGGCAGGCUGACACGCUGUAUACAGGCCUUCUGCAAACACCAUCAUCUCCUCAGUUAUUAAUGGGCCCUGCUCGCUGCCUCUUCAUUAGUGCUCAAAUAUCAACAGAAAACCGUUUACUUACCACGGGCUCCUGCUUGCGCCGAGCAAAUUUGGACAGGGCUAGGCAAACAGGGAGCUUGUUGUUGGGCUAAUGACAGAGCCCAGUGUAAAGUUUAGCGGCAGCAGAAGCAGGCAGACAGGGCACCAGCCUGCACCUGCCCCCAGGGGGCAGCCCCGCAUGAGCUGGUGGGGAGAGGAAGGCGGGGAGCCACACCAGGGAGAGGUGCACGACCUGGGCUCCAGGCCACACAGCCGUGGUCCUGCACUGGAACCCGUCCACAUUGUGGUCAGCCGUGACCUCUUCAGACCGCCCCUUGGGCCCUAGGAACUAGGCCUGGCAGGAAUGCAAGGUUGCAUGGAACAGUAUGUGACAGAAUGCAAAGUUGCAUGAACAUGAGCUUCAUAGCUACAUGCAGCUCAAGUUCAACUCCCGGACCUGGCUCACUGUGCAGUGAGGUGGACCUUCGUUGGCUUAAGCCUCAGUUUUCCCAUCUGAAAAAUGGAAACUAGAGUAGGGUGAAUCCCAUAGAGAGGCCCUGGCGAUUCUGUGGGAUGGUGCACAACACAGAGCUUGGUACCCAGGAGCCUUACACAGAUGUGGCGUGGACAAAUUUGAGAGUCUCACCCCGAGGCUGUGGCUCAGAGCACAGGGCCAGACUGGCCCAGGUUUCAAGUUCAGGUGCAGCCCCACAGCACCCUCCAGCACUGUGCAUCCAUGAACCCCGCCCCGGGGGCUGAGCCACACCAGACGCUCUGCUCCGUGUGCCCAGCGCAGGCUGAGUCUCGGUAGGCCCCCGCCCCCCGCUGCCUUGCUCUUCUAGACAGAAGAGCUCACGUUGCUGGUGGGAUGUAGUCCCAGUCUUUGGGGCUCAGCUUUGCAGCC